GAUGAACGCUGGCGGCGUGCUUAACACAUGCAAGUCGAACGGAAAGGCCCUGCUCUUGCGGGGUGCUCGAGUGGCGAACGGGUGUGUAACACGUGAGUAUCCCCCCCUUGACUUUGGGAUAACUCCAGGAAACGGGGGAUAAUACCGGAUAGGAGCUCCUGCAGCAUGGUGGGGGUUGGAAAGUUCCGGCUGUGGGGGAUCGACUCGCGGGUUACCAGCUUGUUGGGGGGGUAGUGGCUAACCAAGGCUUCGACGGAUAGCCGGCCUGAGAGGGUGGCCGGGGACAAUGGGCCUGAGGGACGGACCAGACUCCAACGGGAGGCAGCAGUGGGAAAUAUUGCACAAUGAGGGGGAGCGUGAGGCGACGACGCCGCGUGCGGAAUGACCGCCUUCGGGUGGUGAACCGCUUUCGCCUGAGACGCAGCGUGAGUGACGGUAAUGGAUAAAGAAGCACCGGCUAACUACGUG
This 468-nucleotide ribosomal RNA is filed under the name uncultured bacterium. Its description in RNAcentral is "partial 16S ribosomal RNA". It matches the Rfam family "Bacterial small subunit ribosomal RNA", at positions 28 to 507 of the family's 1533-position model. The record is from RNAcentral.